This 73-nucleotide transfer RNA is filed under the name Stegodyphus mimosarum. It matches the Rfam family "tRNA". Rfam says of the family: Transfer RNA (tRNA) molecules are approximately 80 nucleotides in length. Their secondary structure includes four short double-helical elements and three loops (D, anti-codon, and T loops). The record is from Rfam by way of RNAcentral. Lineage: Eukaryota; Metazoa; Arthropoda; Arachnida; Araneae; Eresidae.
GCCUUCGUGGUGUAGUGGUCAACACCAUGGAUGCGUAUUCCAGAGGUCCGUGGUUCGAGUCCCGGCGAAGGCU